Molecule: ribosomal RNA, 468 nt
Filed under: uncultured bacterium
Lineage: Bacteria
Description: partial 16S ribosomal RNA
Rfam family: Bacterial small subunit ribosomal RNA
Source: RNAcentral
GACGAACGCUGGCGGCGUGCUUAACACAUGCAAGUCGAACGGACAGGCCCUGCUUUUGUGGGGUGCUCGUGUGGCGAACGGGUGAGUAACACGUGAGUAACAUGCCCUUGACUUUGGGAUAACUUUAGGAAACUGGGGCUAAUACAGGAUAGGAGCUCCUGCAGCACGGGGGGGGUUGGAAAGUUUCGGCGGUUGGGGAUGGACUAGCGGGUUAUCCGCUUGUUGGUGGGGUAGGGGCUUACCAAGGCUUCGACGGGUAGCCGGCCUGAGAGGGUGACCGGCCACAUUGGGACUGAGAUACGGCCCAGACUCCUACGGGAGGCAGCAGUGGGGAAUAUUGCACAAUGGGCGGAAGCCUGAUGCAGCAACGCCGCGUGCGGGAUGACGGCCUUCGGGUUGUAAACCGCUUUCGCCUGUGACGAAGCGUGAGUGACGGUAAUGGGUAAAGAAGCACCGGCUAACUACGUG